AAGUGACCCAGAGCAUUACAAAAGCCAGGUCAUACGAGAGAUUCAUGUGAACUUAGGUUUAGGCAUGGGGGAGCUACUAGGAUGCACGGGACCAAGCUUUUGAAUCCAAUGAAGAAGACCUUUCUUAUGAUCUUGACAAGUUGGGUUUUUUACCAAAUUCAGGGUUCCAUCACAGGCAAGCGAAGACUCAAAUUGCUCUAAUACCUUCACAAUUUGCCAAAACUCGGGCCUCUUCUCAGGAUGCAAACACCAGCAUUGCUCGAUUAAAGCUCGCAUGGCAGGAGGGCAGUCCCGAGGAAUAACAGGUCUCAAAUUCUUAUUCACUACUGCAAAAGCAGCUUGUAUGGGAUUCAUAUCCUCAUAGGGAAUUGUUCCAGCCACCAUUUCCCAUAAAAUGAGCCCAAAACUGUACACAUCAACCCUUCUGCCAUAGAAUUUCUUUUUUAUCAUCUCAGGCGCCAUCCAUCUGUAAGUCCCUGGGUCAUCAGCCAAUGAAUCACAAUAUGCCUCUUCACAAGCUAUGCCAAAAUCGGCAAUCUUCAGAUGAAACUCUUGAUCAAUAAGAACAUUCUCCGGUUUAAGAUCUCGAUGAAUGACACCUUGAGAGUGGAUGUAUUCCAUUCCACGAGCAAUGUCCAGAGCAUUUGCAAUUAGCCUCUGUAAGGGGAGAGACUUAUGCUUGAGCUUGUGCAAGUAUGCCCUCAAGGAACCUUCAGAUAAAUAUUCUGUUAUAACACAAUAAACUGGUGGCUUUUUGCAUGCUGCUACAAACUUUAUAACAUUCCGGUGGUGAAGCCGAGAUAAAAGGGUGACUUCUCUGCUAUAUUGAUUCUUCAAUCUAGCAGCUAAGGUCCCAUUUUCGUCAUCAUCUGGUGCCCUGAUAAUUUUAACUGCAACAGGCUCAUCUUUGUAUACACCAUGGUAAAGCUUGCUAUGUGCCCCAUGAGCAAAUCUAAGCCCGAGAAAAAGUUUAGACAUAUCCACACGAAAUUCAUCAGCAGCUUCCACAGCAUUAACCCUUCCUCCACCAUGGUCAAAAUACUUUGUCCAACCAGAGUCCUUCUUGACCUUUGAUUUUUCAUGGCCCUCCAUUAAAGCCAAGUGCUGGAGUGGGCCUGUAUUUGAUGUAGGACUGGAUGGCUCGGUUUCUGGAAAUUCCUUGUGAAGAAACUUUCCCAUGAUUUUCUUCUCCUGAUCUUU
RNAcentral lists this unclassified non-coding RNA (1200 nucleotides) under Hevea brasiliensis (rubber tree). The record is from RNAcentral. Lineage: Eukaryota; Viridiplantae; Streptophyta; Magnoliopsida; Malpighiales; Euphorbiaceae.